AUUUUGACCUCAAAUCAGGA
Molecule: ribosomal RNA, 20 nt
Filed under: Pleurotus giganteus
Lineage: Eukaryota; Fungi; Basidiomycota; Agaricomycetes; Agaricales; Pleurotaceae
Description: partial large subunit ribosomal RNA
Source: RNAcentral